UCCGGGAAGCGUUCGUUCGCUAUUUGUGCAUUCGUGUAAAUAGAGGAAAGUCCGGACAUCAAAGGGCAGAAUUCCCUGUGAAAACGGGGGGGGCUUAUUUCAAAUUAAGUUCACGGCUAGUGCAGCAGAAAAUAAACCGCCUUAUUCGUAAGGUAAGGGUGAAAAGGUGGGGUAAGAGCUCACCGCCACAAAGGCAACUUAGUGGGCAUUGUAAACCCAAUUCGAUGCAAGACGAAAUAGGAAACCGGGUUGCCCGCCCAAUGGUUUCGGGUACGUCGCACCUCUUCGGAGGAUUGGUGAAAACUAAUAGAUAAAUGAGCGAACUUUUGAUACAUCAAAAGAACAGAAUCUGGCUUACAGCUUCCCGGAUUCA
This 373-nucleotide RNase P RNA is filed under the name Opitutia bacterium. RNAcentral's name for it is "RNase P RNA component class A". It matches the Rfam family "Bacterial RNase P class A". From Rfam's summary of the family: Ribonuclease P (RNase P) is a ubiquitous endoribonuclease, found in archaea, bacteria and eukarya as well as chloroplasts and mitochondria. The record is from RNAcentral. Lineage: Bacteria; Pseudomonadati; Verrucomicrobiota; Opitutia.